AGGGAAUCUUCCGCAAUGGGCGAAAGCCUGACGGAGCAACGCCGCGUGAGCGAUGAAGGUCUUCGGAUCGUAAAACUCUGUUAUUAGGGAAGAACAAAUGUGUAAGUAACUAUGCACGUCUUGACGGUACCUAAUCAGAAAGCCACGGCUAACUACGUGCCAGCAGCCGCGGUAAUACGUAGGUGGCAAGCGUUAUCCGGAAUUAUUGGGCGUAAAGCGCGCGUAGGCGGUUUUUUAAGUCUGAUGUGAAAGCCCACGGCUCAACCGUGAAGGGUCAUUGGAAACUGGAAAACUUGAGUGCAGAAGAGGAAAGUGGAAUUCCAUGUGUAGCGGUGAAAUGCGCAGAGAUAUGGAGGAACACCAGUGGCGAAGGCGACUUUCUGGUCUGUAACUGACGCUGAUGUGCGAAAGCGUGGGGAUCAAACAGGAUUAGAUACCCUGGUAGUCCACGCCGUAAACGAUGAGUGCUAAGUGUUAGGGGGUUUCCGCCCCUUAGUGCUGCAGCUAACGCAUUAAGCACUCCGCCUGGGGAGUACGACCGCAAGGUUG
This 549-nucleotide ribosomal RNA is filed under the name uncultured bacterium. RNAcentral describes it as "bacterial SSU rRNA". It matches the Rfam family "Bacterial small subunit ribosomal RNA", at positions 356 to 896 of the family's 1533-position model. The record is from RNAcentral.